UGGGGAAUAUUGCACAAUGGGCGCAAGCCUGAUGCAGCCAUGCCGCGUGUGUGAAGAAGGCCUUCGGGUUGUAAAGCACUUUCAGCGGGGAGGAAGGCGUUAAGGUUAAUAACCUUGGCGAUUGACGUUACCCGCAGAAGAAGCACCGGCUAACUCCGUGCCAGCAGCCGCGGUAAUACGGAGGGUGCAAGCGUUAAUCGGAAUUACUGGGCGUAAAGCGCACGCAGGCGGUUGAUUGAGUCAGAUGUGAAAUCCCCGGGCUUAACCCGGGAAUUGCAUCUGAUACUGGUCAGCUAGAGUCUUGUAGAGGGGGGUAGAAUUACAUGUGUGGCGGUGAAAUGCGUAGAGAUGUGGAGGAAUACCGGUGGCGAAGGCGGCCCCCUGGACAAAGACUGACGCUCAGGUGCGAAAGCGGGGGGAGCAAACAGG
RNAcentral lists this ribosomal RNA (429 nucleotides) under Chloroflexota bacterium. Its description in RNAcentral is "Chloroflexi bacterium partial 16S ribosomal RNA". It matches the Rfam family "Bacterial small subunit ribosomal RNA", at positions 355 to 776 of the family's 1533-position model. The record is from RNAcentral. Lineage: Bacteria; Bacillati; Chloroflexota.